RNAcentral lists this ribosomal RNA (1492 nucleotides) under marine metagenome. Its description in RNAcentral is "bacterial LSU rRNA". It matches the Rfam family "Bacterial large subunit ribosomal RNA", at positions 1107 to 2611 of the family's 2925-position model. The record is from RNAcentral.
UGGAAGCAGCUAUUCCUUUAAAGAGUGCGUAACAGCUCACUGGUCGAGCGACAGGGCGUCGAUAAUAAUCGGGCAUCAAACCUAAUACCGAAGCGAAGGAUUGCAGCAAUGCAGUGGUAGGGGAGCAUUCCAAAGACGGCGAAGGUAUCUCGUAAGGGGUGCUGGAGACUUUGGAAAAGCAAAUGUAGGCAUAAGUAACGAUAAGGCGGGCGAGAAACCCGCCCACCGUAAGACCCAGGUUUCCUGAUCAACGUUAAUCGGAUCAGGGUUAGUCGGGGCCUAAGGCGAACCCGAAUGGGGUAGUCGAUGGACAAUGGGUUAAUAUUCCCAUACUAUUUAUACAGGUGAUGGAGUGACGGAGUGAUGAAAGAUCCGCCCGGUGACGGAAUACCGGGUUAAAGCGAGUAGGUAUUGGUCUGGUAGUUAAAUGCGCCGGAUUAGCCGAACGUGAUAGUACCGAGCGUCUUCGGACAAUUGGAUAGUGAUCCUAAGGGCUUCCAAGAAAAACUUCUAGCGUUAAGCGUAUAGAUACCCGUACCGCAAACCGACACAGGUGGUCGAGGAGAGAAUCCUAAGGUGCUCGAGUGAAUCAUGGCUAAGGAACUCGGCAAAAUGGCCCUGUAACUUCGGGAGAAGGGGCGCCCCCUGUGAGGGGGGCCGCAGUGAAGAGGCCCAGGCGACUGUUUAACAAAAACACAUGGCUUUGCAAAGUUUAACGACUAAGUAUAAGGCCUGACACCUGCCCGGUGCUGGAAGGUUAAGAGGGGAUGUUAGCGCAAGCGAAGCAUUGAAUCGAAGCCCCAGUAAACGGCGGCCGUAACUAUAACGGUCCUAAGGUAGCGAAAUUCCUUGUCGGGUAAGUUCCGACCUGCACGAAUGGCGUAACGAUGGCGGCGCUGUCUCCACCCGAGACUCAGUGAAAUUGAAAUCGCUGUGAAGAUGCAGCGUUCCCGCGGCAAGACGGAAAGACCCCGUGAACCUUUACUAUAGCUUUACAUUGAACGUUGAGUUCGUCUGUGUAGGAUAGGUGGGAGGCUAUGAAAUGUGGACGCUAGUUUGCAUGGAGCCAACCUUGAAAUACCACCCUGAUGUGCUUGACGUUCUAACCUAGGUCCGUAAUCCGGAUCGGGGACCAUGUAUGGUGGGUAGUUUGACUGGGGCGGUCUCCUCCCAAAGAGUAACGGAGGAGCACGAAGGUGCGCUAAUCAUGGUCGGAAAUCAUGAGGUUAGUGUAAAGGCACAAGCGCGCUUGACUGCGAGACUGACAAGUCGAGCAGGUACGAAAGUAGGUCUUAGUGAUCCGGUGGUUCUGUAUGGAAGGGCCAUCGCUCAACGGAUAAAAGGUACUCCGGGGAUAACAGGCUGAUACCGCCCAAGAGUUCAUAUCGACGGCGGUGUUUGGCACCUCGAUGUCGGCUCAUCACAUCCUGGGGCUGUAGUCGGUCCCAAGGGUAUGGCUGUUCGCCAUUUAAAGUGGUACGCGAGCUGGGUU